Molecule: non-coding RNA, 1583 nt
Organism: Odocoileus virginianus texanus
Lineage: Eukaryota; Metazoa; Chordata; Mammalia; Artiodactyla; Cervidae
Source: RefSeq, a predicted model, not a curated record
UCGCGCCUGCGUUUUGGGUGGCUGGCAGCUGCGUUGUCUGAGGGAGGAUUAGCCUGGUGUGGUGAAUGUUGACCUUAGGAUCUCUCAAGGGUGUGGGGAGUGGUGAGAAUCGGCAGGCUGGUCCCCGCAUCAUGUGUUCACAGCCCGGCCAUUAACUGCUGGACCCUGUGCUGGGCUCUUGGGAUGGAGGGGUUGUAAUAGAUGACCCUCACGCUUGGCAGGCAGUUGGGUUCAGGGAGUUAUUAUGCAAUCGCAAACAUAUUCUUUACUUUUAAAUUAUGUAAGUAAUGCAAGAAUGCAUUAUAAUUUAAAAAAAAAAAAGACAAGACAACUAACUAUACCACUUACCGUGUAAGGAUUUGUACGUAUUAAGCCGUAUAGCAGUUAGCUGUGGAACCUUCAAGAGCGUAGGUAUCCAAACGUGAUGUGCGCAUACUUCGGUUGGAUUUCUUAAAUAUAACUGGGAGCAUAGGGAUAAUACUGCUGCACAAUUGUCUUCUCUUCUUUUUUCUUUCUGGGCCUGUAAAUGUUGUAUUUAUAACCAAUGAAGAAGCCUAUUUAUUGUAACUUGUUCUGUGUAUUUCUCAUCACAUUUUAUUUAAGACUUUCUAUUUUGGGGGGCUUCCCUGGUGGCUCUCCCCCCCCCCCGCCCCACUUUUUCACCUGCUACAAACAAUGCUCAGUAACCAUGGAUGUGUGUAUGUCUUUCUGUGCAUGUUGGGGUAUUUCCAACAGGUUUCCCCAAAGUCAGAUUUUACUCAGUGUGCAUGUUAAUGUCAGUAAACACUGCCAUACUGCUCUCCAGAAGGGCUCGAUCAAUUUUAAAUAUUUGAAAGUGUUGUUGUUCUGUUGGUAGUCGCCAAGUCCUGUCUUUUGAGACUCCAUGGUCUGUAGCCUGCCAGGCUCCUCUGUCCAUGAGAUUUCCCAGUCAAGAAUAGUGAAGUGGGUUGCCAUUUCCUUCUGCAGAGGAUCUUCCUGACCACAAGGAUUGGAUGUCACCUGAAGUUUUCAAAGAAACGCCUCUUAUUAAAUACCUGACUGCCCAUACCCUUAGACCUAACUUUGAGAGCCCACCUGCAUCUCCACUUCCUGAAACUACCCAGACGAAUCUACAAGGUUGGAGGAAAAAUGUCUUCUUCAACAGAGUGAACCUGCAAAACCCUAAGCUCCCCAACCUUGGACCCUAACAAAGGCAGAGCUCCAGAUUCUCUCCAAGUUCUCUCUCCCUCUCCACCUCUCCCACCCCAUGACUUCACAGUGUGGCCCUGAAGCAUGCUGUGGACUCUCCAAAACCUGCAAAGAAAGACUGGUUUCCUGAGGUUUUUUUUUCUUAAGGGCAAGGAACCAACUUUUUCAGAGAUCCUGAGAGCUCUGCUUGGCCGACACUGGCUUAGAUCUGCCCAUUCUUGAAUCACCAAGUGUAAAGGAGCAAAGAGGAUGUACCUAGAAUGCUGUCUUCUCCCAGCCUCGAUCUGAGACAUAUAUCCUUCAGAUCUCAGCUCAAACACUACUUUCUCAGGGAGUUCCCCCUCCCUGAGUUAUGUGGUCUCUCAGGACUCUACUUUUUUUUUUCCUUUUAGAAC